RNAcentral lists this ribosomal RNA (506 nucleotides) under uncultured Eubacteriales bacterium. RNAcentral's name for it is "bacterial SSU rRNA". It matches the Rfam family "Bacterial small subunit ribosomal RNA", at positions 1 to 507 of the family's 1533-position model. Lineage: Bacteria; Bacillati; Bacillota; Clostridia; Eubacteriales. The record is from RNAcentral.
CGAGAGUUUGUAUCCUGGCUCAGGAUGAACGCUGGCGGCGUGCUUAACACAUGCAAGUCGAGCGAAGCGUAUUAGUCGGAAGUUUUCGGAUGGAAGCGGAUAUGACUUAGCGGCGGACGGGUGGAGUAACGCGUGGAUAACCUGCCUCAUACAGGGGGAUAACAGUUAGAAAUGACUGCUAAUACCGCAUAAGCGCACAGGACCGCAUGGUCCGGUGUGAAAAACUCCGGUGGUAUGGGAUGGAUCCGCGUCUGAUUAGCUGGUUGGUGAGGUAACGGCCCACCAAGGCGACGAUCAGUAGCCGACCUGAGAGGGUGGCCGGCCACAUUGGGACUGAGACACGGCCCAAACUCCUACGGGAGGGCAGCAGUGGGGAAUAUUGCACAAUGGGGGAAACCCUGAUGCAGCAACGCCGCGUGAGUGAAGAAGUAUUUCGGUAUGUAAAGCUCUAUCAGCAGGGAAGAAGAAAGACGGUACCUGACUAAGAAGCCCCGGCUAACUACGUG